Molecule: long non-coding RNA, 485 nt
Organism: Diachasma alloeum
Lineage: Eukaryota; Metazoa; Arthropoda; Insecta; Hymenoptera; Braconidae
Exons: 3
Source: RefSeq, a predicted model, not a curated record
CAUAUUCAGAUCUUCAUAAAUGUGAUUCACAUUUGCGUAAAAGGGGUCAUUGAUAAACGAUUAGAAUAAAUCGAGGAUAGAAAUAUGAUAAGCUUAUCCACUGUUGCUCAGUUUGAUCCAGACCUUUACGUUCGAAGGUUUGAAAUUGGUGUAAGUCAUCAUGACGAAGAUUAUGACAAUCUGUAUUCUACUGUGCGCGAUUCACCAGUCAACGCAAAUACCCAGGAUUUGGGGAGAUUGUCGCAAUUCAACAGAUUUUCUGCAACCGUACUUAACCGGCUGCUAUGAUAUACGAUGCCAUGGAACACGUCGGGCUUCUGUGACACCUUGCACUCAGGUUGCGCCCACUUGCGGACCCCACAAGAACUUCGUUGUGAUGAGAUUUGAUGAUGAUGAAGAAUACCCCAAAUGUUGUGUAGAAAUCAUUUGUGAAUGACUGUAAAAAUUUAGUUUUGAAUAAAGCAGUUGAUUUUUGAAGCCACCAA